CCAGUCGGCCGGACAGCCGCUGCCGCUAGCGCCGAAAGGCCGCGGGGGAGGAAAGUCCGGGCUCCACGGAAACACGGUGCCGGGUAACUCCCGGCGAGGGCGACCUUAGGGAAAGUGCCACAGAAAGCAAACCGCCCCGGACCUGGUCCGGAGUAAGGGUGAAAGGGUGGGGUAAGAGCCCACCGCGCACCUGGCAACAGGGGCGGCAUGGUAAACCCCACCGGGAGCAAAACCGAAUAGGGACAGCGCGGGCCUCGUGCCCAGGCCGGUUUCCAGGCCAGUUGUCCGGGUUGGUUGCGUGAGGCGUCUGGCAACAGGCGUCCAAGAUGAAUGGCUGUCGCGUCCGCUUUUGAUCUUCGGAUUUUUGCGGGCCAUACAGAACCCGGCUUACAGGCCGGCUGGCUUU
RNAcentral lists this RNase P RNA (406 nucleotides) under Roseibium denhamense. RNAcentral describes it as "Bacterial RNase P class A". It matches the Rfam family "Bacterial RNase P class A". Rfam says of the family: Ribonuclease P (RNase P) is a ubiquitous endoribonuclease, found in archaea, bacteria and eukarya as well as chloroplasts and mitochondria. Its best characterised activity is the generation of mature 5'-ends of tRNAs by cleaving the 5'-leader elements of precursor-tRNAs. Cellular RNase Ps are ribonucleoproteins. The record is from RNAcentral. Lineage: Bacteria; Pseudomonadati; Pseudomonadota; Alphaproteobacteria; Hyphomicrobiales; Stappiaceae.